GAUGAACGCUGGCGGCGUGCCUAAUACAUGCAAGUCGAGCGAACAGAUGAGGAGCUUGCUCCUCUGACGUUAGCGGCGGACGGGUGAGUAACACGUGGAUAACCUACCUAUAAGACUGGGAUAACUUCGGGAAACCGGAGCUAAUACCGGAUAAUAUAUUGAACCGCAUGGAUCAAUAGAGAAAGACGGCUUUGCUGUCACUUAUAGAUGGAUCCGCGCCGCAUUAGCUAGUUGGUAAGGUAACGGCUUACCAAGGCGACGAUGCGUAGCCGACCUGAGAGGGUGAUCAGCCACACUGGAACUGAGACACGGUCCAGACUCCUACGGGAGGCAGCAGUAGGGAAUCUUCCGCAAUGGGCGAAAGCCUGACGGAGCAACGCCGCGUGAGUGAUGAAGGUCUUCGGAUCGUAAAGCUCUGUUAUUAGGGAAGAACAAAAGUGUAAGUAACUAUGCACGUCUUGACGGUACCUAAACAGAAAGCCACGGCUAACUACGUG
Molecule: ribosomal RNA, 497 nt
Filed under: uncultured bacterium
Lineage: Bacteria
Description: partial 16S ribosomal RNA
Rfam family: Bacterial small subunit ribosomal RNA
Source: RNAcentral